UACGGAGGGUGCAAGCGUUGCUCGGAAUUAUUGGGCGUAAAGGGUAGGUAGGUGGUCUCAUUUGUCUGUGGUGAAAGCCUUGGGCUUAACCCAAGAAGUGCCGCGGAAACGGUGAGACUUGAGUCCUGGAGAGGGUCGUGGAAUUCCCGGUGUAGCGGUGAAAUGCGUAGAGAUCGGGAGGAACACCAGAGGCGAAGGCGGCGACCUGGACAGGCACUGACACUCAACUACGAAAGCAUGGGGAGCAAACAGG
RNAcentral lists this ribosomal RNA (253 nucleotides) under uncultured bacterium. Its description in RNAcentral is "partial 16S ribosomal RNA". It matches the Rfam family "Bacterial small subunit ribosomal RNA", at positions 524 to 776 of the family's 1533-position model. The record is from RNAcentral.